RNAcentral lists this ribosomal RNA (253 nucleotides) under uncultured bacterium. RNAcentral describes it as "partial 16S ribosomal RNA". It matches the Rfam family "Bacterial small subunit ribosomal RNA", at positions 524 to 776 of the family's 1533-position model. The record is from RNAcentral.
UACGGAGGGUGCAAGCGUUAUCCGGAUUCACUGGGUUUAAAGGGUGCGUAGGUGGGCAAGUAAGUCAGUGGUGAAAUCUCCGGGCUUAACCCGGAAACUGCCGUUGAUACUAUUUGUCUUGAAUACUGUGGAGGUCAGCGGAAUAUGUCAUGUAGCGGUGAAAUGCUUAGAUAUGACAUAGAACACCAAUUGCGAAGGCAGCUGGCUACACAAAUAUUGACACUGAGGCACGAAAGCGUGGGGAUCAAACAGG